This 158-nucleotide unclassified non-coding RNA is filed under the name uncultured Gomphaceae. RNAcentral's name for it is "sequence contains ITS2". Lineage: Eukaryota; Fungi; Basidiomycota; Agaricomycetes; Gomphales; Gomphaceae. The record is from RNAcentral.
AUAUUCUCGACCACCGGUCGGAUUUUGGAUGUUGCUGGCCGUCGAGUCGGCUCAUCUUGAAACGCAUAUAGCUUGCUAUUGUGGAAGGCGGGAUGCCCGUGAUAAGUGAAAAAGUCUUAGGAAUCGGGUGCUCGCGUUCCAUUUCAGUACUUAAUUGA